UUUCCCUUUCCCCAGCCCUGAGCAGGGCCUGGCACUGAGUGGAGCUGGCUUCCCUGGGAUGCUUGGGGCCUUGCCUCUCCCUCUGAGUCUGGGGCAGCCUCCACCUUCUCCAUUGCUCAACCACAGUUUAUUUGGUGUGCUGACUGGGGGAGGAGGACAACCUCCCCCUGAGCCCCUGCUACCCCCACCAGGAGGACCUGGUCCUCCCCUAGCCCCAGGAGAGCCUGAAGGGCCUUCGCUUUUGGUGGCUUCCUUGCUUCCUCCACCACCCUCAGACCUUCUUCCACCUCCUUCAGCACCUCCCAGCAACCUCCUUGCCUCUUUCCUGCCCCUGUUGGCUCUGGGCCCCACAGCUGGGGAUGGGGAGGGAUCUGCAGAGGGAGCCGGGGGUCCAAGUGGGGAGCCAUUUUCAGGCUUGGGAGACCUGUCCCCCCUACUUUUCCCCCCACUUUCAGCCCCCCCUACCCUCAUAGCUUUAAAUUCUGCGCUGCUGGCUGCCACCCUGGAUCCCCCCUCGGGGACACCCCCCCAGCCCUGUGUCCUGAGUGCCCCCCAACCUGGACCACCUACCUCCAGUGUCACCACGGCAACUACUGACCCGGGGGCCUCCUCUCUGGGCAAGGCCCCCUCCAACUCAGGGAGACCCCCCCAACUCCUUAGCCCUCUGCUGGGUGCCAGCCUGCUGGGUGUGACCUGUCUUCACUGACCAGCAGCCCUGGAGCCCUCCCCAGCCUGUUGCAGCCUCCUGGCCCUCUUCUCUCUGGCCAGUUGGGGCUGCAGCUCCUCCCUGGGGGGGGAGCUCCUCCACCCCUCUCAGAGGCUUCUAGUCCCCUAGCCUGCCUGCUACAGAGUCUCCAGAUCCCUCCAGAGCAGCCAGAAGCCCCCUGUCUACCCCCCGAGAGCCCUGCCUCAGCCCUCGAACCAGAGCCUGCCAGGCCUCCCCUCAGUGCCUUAGCCCCACCCCAUGGUUCUCCC
This 975-nucleotide long non-coding RNA is filed under the name Pan troglodytes (chimpanzee). RNAcentral describes it as "long non-coding RNA NONPTRT003860". Lineage: Eukaryota; Metazoa; Chordata; Mammalia; Primates; Hominidae. The record is from RNAcentral.